This 253-nucleotide ribosomal RNA is filed under the name uncultured bacterium. RNAcentral's name for it is "partial 16S ribosomal RNA". It matches the Rfam family "Bacterial small subunit ribosomal RNA", at positions 524 to 776 of the family's 1533-position model. The record is from RNAcentral.
UACGAAGGGGGCUAGCGUUGCUCGGAAUCACUGGGCGUAAAGCGCACGUAGGCGGAUCUUUAAGUCAGAGGUGAAAUCCCAAGGCUCAACCUUGGAACUGCCUUUGAUACUGGGGAUCUCGAGUCCGGAAGAGGUGAGUGGAACUGCGAGUGUAGAGGUGAAAUUCGUAGAUAUUCGCAAGAACACCAGUGGCGAAGGCGGCUCACUGGUCCGGUACUGACGCUGAGGUGCGAAAGCGUGGGGAUCAAACAGG